AUAUUCAUAAUCAACAGGCACUGAAAUCCUAAGUAACGUCACGGGAGGUGAGGGAUGGCCCUUGAGAUCAAGAGGUUGGAAACUGCUACUCUAGGCUGUACUGGACACACCUAAACUGUGCCACCCAGAGCUAAGCUCAGCCUUCCUGGGUUGAAGCUCCAGCACUGAUGUCUCUCGUGAAGCCAGGAGUCAUUAACUUACUAAUUCCAGCUAUUAAGACAACUGAUUUGGUGACUUGGGUGAGGCAGUUCUGCACUGAAGGUUAAAGUGAAUUUAAGGGUGACCUUGAAACCAGAAGAC
Molecule: long non-coding RNA, 300 nt
Filed under: Rhinopithecus bieti (black snub-nosed monkey)
Lineage: Eukaryota; Metazoa; Chordata; Mammalia; Primates; Cercopithecidae
Description: lncRNA (ENSRBIG00000045901.1)
Source: RNAcentral